UUGUUCUAUUCAUCAUGACCUCAUAGAGCCUUUUCUUUUUCUCAGGUCUCAUUUACUUCCUCUUUUUUUUUUCCUUUUCCUUUUCCUAUACCUUCCUUUGGUCCUUAUAAGUAUCCAAAUUGCCCUAAAAUAACUUCUGCACAUGCAGCAUUAGGAAGCAGUGUUUCCCAACCACUACAUUUGAAUGAUUCAUUCCUCUGAGGACCCUCAAGUACUUCAGAAGAACUAAAAAAUGAAUAUCACGUUACACCAAAGAAGAAAUGAAAGCUGCCAGUGUCUUCUGAAGUUAAACAGGCUCCUGUUCUUUGACCCAGCAAUCCAAUCCUAGGUAUUUAAUUGUUCCCUGAGGUUUAAGGCAGUGGACUGAGGAUAAUACAGGCUCCAGCUUUCAUUAGUUCAAUGGAUGAUGCUGUUCAAUCCAUACUGUUUGGGGCAUUUGUUGAAAAUGUCAUUCAGAAGAUAUCAACACUUUCUGAGUCAUGGUUUGAUUGAAUUUAUAGAAUUAUGUGAUAGAAACCACAUUCUUCACAAAAGUCACAAGGCAAUAAUGACGACAAGGGUUGAAGAUGAAAGAUGCCAAAUAUUCUGAUCAAUUCAAUAAGGCAAAAAGACAAGUUAAUUCACUCAGUGCUCCAGGCAUCAACUUCAUAGAAGGAAUGGAAAUUCUACCUGUUUCCUAAAGAACUACAGAGGACUCCAACUAAGCCACUAUGCUGGGAGCAGAGAUGGGGAAGAAUUGCUGAGUCAUGAUAAGAGAAGGCACUAUAGGAAGAAACAGUGAACUCUUAACAGCUGGGCAAGCAAUGAGUCAGCCUGGGUGGUCACUCCAGAUGCUCCCGGACACAUCCCAAUUUCUAGGAUGCCUUGCUGAUAUGUACUUCUCAAGGAAAAAAAAUGGUCACUAUAUAUAUUAAACUGACAGAGGAAAAGUGGAAAUAACAUAUGUCUUAGAUCUCCAUUUUGGCGAAGACAGGCUUCAGCUGUAAAGAAUCGAAGAAUAAAAUGAGACCAACAAAGUGAAAUCAUUUCUGAACCCAGUAACUAUUACUGCAGCACUGAUCUGCUGAACCGGCAGAGGAGUCCAAAAGAAAAAUCUACUCAUCCCAAAUGAGCAUUUACUCUCAAUAUGAUGUGUUUCACUAGCUCCUUUCCUCUAAAGCACUUUUUUUCCCUUGCAUUGUUUUUUUUUCUAAUUAUAUGUGUGGCUUUAGACAAAUUAUUCCAAUUCUCUGCACUUCGAGUUUAUCAAAUAAAAAUCAAGAAUAAUCUCUA
RNAcentral lists this long non-coding RNA (1272 nucleotides) under Homo sapiens (human). RNAcentral describes it as "HSALNT0375843". Lineage: Eukaryota; Metazoa; Chordata; Mammalia; Primates; Hominidae. The record is from RNAcentral.